Long non-coding RNA from Helianthus annuus (common sunflower), 435 nucleotides. RefSeq lists it as uncharacterized. The transcript has 2 exons. NCBI's taxonomy places the organism in Eukaryota, Viridiplantae, Streptophyta, Magnoliopsida, Asterales, Asteraceae. The record is from RefSeq and is a predicted model, not a curated record.
UACUCACAUGACCAUCUCUACUUUUCCAUUAUAAAUCCAGAUCUACACAGCAAGCCAAGCAUAAUAAAUCAUAUAUCAAUGGAGAAAAUCAGCAUCUUUCUCAUCCUUCUCCUCAUCUUGGUUCCAUUUAAAGAGGCGGAGGGGAGGAACUGUGAGUCACAGAGCCAUAAGUUCGAAGGCAGGUGCAUGAGCAACCAUAACUGCGGUCUCGUUUGCAGAAACGAAGGCUUUACCAGUGGCGUUUGUCGUGGUGCUCGUGGACGAUGCUUUUGCACCAAAACUUGUUAAUUACUUCUUACUUCACUUCACUUCACUUCAAUCUAAUAACUAGUGGAGUGGAGUGGAUCCACGCUCGAUCGCUGGAUGUUAUGUUAUCACUAGUUAGUUGUUUGUAAAAUAAAUUUGAUUGAUUCCUAUGGACUUGUUUUUCUUUUA